UACAGAGGUCCCAAGCGUUGUUCGGAUUCACUGGGCGUAAAGGGUGCGUAGGUGGUGAGGUAAGUCGGAUGUGAAAGCUCGGAGCUCAACUCCGAAAUGGCAUUGGAAACUACCUCGCUAGAGGAUCGGAGGGGAGACUGGAAUUCUCGGUGUAGCAGUGAAAUGCGUAGAUAUCCGGAGGAACACCGGUGGCGAAGGCGGCUUCCUGGACCGACACUGACGCUGAGGCGCGAAAGCUAGGGGAGCAAACGGG
Molecule: ribosomal RNA, 253 nt
Filed under: uncultured bacterium
Lineage: Bacteria
Description: partial 16S ribosomal RNA
Rfam family: Bacterial small subunit ribosomal RNA
Source: RNAcentral